Molecule: ribosomal RNA, 769 nt
Filed under: uncultured bacterium
Lineage: Bacteria
Description: bacterial SSU rRNA
Rfam family: Bacterial small subunit ribosomal RNA
Source: RNAcentral
GACGAACGCUGGCGGCGUGCCUAAUACAUGCAAGUCGAGCGAAGUUUUUCUGGUGCUUGCACUAGAAAAACUUAGCGGCGAACGGGUGAGUAACACGUAAAGAACCUGCCUCAUAGACGGGGACAACUAUUGGAAACGAUAGCUAAUACCGGAUAACAGCAUAAAUCGCACGAUAUAUGUUUAAAAGUUGGUUUCGGCUAACACUAUGAGAUGGCUUUGCGGUGCAUUAGCUAGUUGGUGGGGUAAAGGCCUACCAAGGCGACGAUGCAUAGCCGACCUGAGAGGGUGAUCGGCCACACUGGGACUGAGACACGGCCCAGACUCCUACGGGAGGCAGCAGUAGGGAAUCUUCCGCAAUGGGCGAAAGCCUGACGGAGCAACGCCGCGUGAGUGAAGAAGGAUUUCGGUUCGUAAAGCUCUGUUGUUAGGGAAGAAUGAUUGUAUAGUAACUAUAUACAGUAGAGACGGUACCUAACCAGAAAGCCACGGCUAACUACGUGCCAGCAGCCGCGGUAAUACGUAGGUGGCAAGCGUUGUCCGGAAUUAUUGGGCGUAAAGCGCGCGCAGGUGGUUUAAUAAGUCUGAUGUGAAAGCCCACGGCUCAACCGUGGAGGGUCAUUGGAAACUGUUAAACUUGAGUGCAGGAGAGAAAAGUGGAAUUCCUAGUGUAGCGGUGAAAUGCGUAGAGAUUAGGAGGAACACCAGUGGCGAAGGCGGCUUUUUGGCCUGUAACUGACACUGAGGCGCGAAAGCGUGGGGAGCAAACAGG